This 253-nucleotide ribosomal RNA is filed under the name uncultured bacterium. Its description in RNAcentral is "partial 16S ribosomal RNA". It matches the Rfam family "Bacterial small subunit ribosomal RNA", at positions 524 to 776 of the family's 1533-position model. The record is from RNAcentral.
UACGGAGGGUGCAAGCGUUAUCCGGAUUCACUGGGUUUAAAGGGUGCGUAGGUGGGCAGGUAAGUCAGUGGUGAAAUCCCCGGGCUUAACUCGGAAACUGCCAUUGAUACUAUCUGUCUUGAAUACCGUGGAGGUCAGCGGAAUAUGUCAUGUAGCGGUGAAAUGCUUAGAUAUGACAUAGAACACCAAUUGCGAAGGCAGCUGGCUACACGAAUAUUGACACUGAUGCACGAAAGCGUGGGGAUCAAACAGG